RNAcentral lists this ribosomal RNA (514 nucleotides) under Bacillus mycoides. RNAcentral's name for it is "bacterial SSU rRNA". It matches the Rfam family "Bacterial small subunit ribosomal RNA", at positions 1001 to 1514 of the family's 1533-position model. The record is from RNAcentral. Lineage: Bacteria; Bacillati; Bacillota; Bacilli; Caryophanales; Bacillaceae.
UAGAGAUAGAGCUUCUCCUUCGGGAGCAGAGUGACAGGUGGUGCAUGGUUUGUCGUCAGCUCGUGUCGUGAGAUGUUGGGUUAAGUCCCGCAACGAGCGCAACCCUUGAUCUUAGUUGCCAUCAUUAAGUUGGGCACUCUAAGGUGACUGCCGGUGACAAACCGGAGGAAGGUGGGGAUGACGUCAAAUCAUCAUGCCCCUUAUGACCUGGGCUACACACGUGCUACAAUGGACGGUACAAAGAGCUGCAAGACCGCGAGGUGGAGCUAAUCUCAUAAAACCGUUCUCAGUUCGGAUUGUAGGCUGCAACUCGCCUACAUGAAGCUGGAAUCGCUAGUAAUCGCGGAUCAGCAUGCCGCGGUGAAUACGUUCCCGGGCCUUGUACACACCGCCCGUCACACCACGAGAGUUUGUAACACCCGAAGUCGGUGGGGUAACCUUUAUGGAGCCAGCCGCCUAAGGUGGGACAGAUGAUUGGGGUGAAGUCGUAACAAGGUAGCCGUAUCGGAAGGUG